UGGGGAACCUGCCCCAUAGUCUGGGAUACCACUUGGAAACAGGUGCUAAUACCGGAUAAGAAAGCGGAUCGCAUGAUCAGCUUUUAAAAGGCGGCGUAAGCUGUCGCUAUGGGAUGGCCCCGCGGUGCAUUAGCUAGUUGGUAAGGUAAAGGCUUACCAAGGCGAUGAUGCAUAGCCGAGUUGAGAGACUGAUCGGCCACAUUGGGACUGAGACACGGCCCAAACUCCUACGGGAGGCAGCAGUG
Molecule: ribosomal RNA, 245 nt
Filed under: uncultured Lactobacillus sp.
Lineage: Bacteria; Bacillati; Bacillota; Bacilli; Lactobacillales; Lactobacillaceae
Description: partial 16S ribosomal RNA
Rfam family: Bacterial small subunit ribosomal RNA
Source: RNAcentral